GCUCCGUUGGUGGACCAGCGGAGGGAUCAUUACCGAGUUUACAACUCCCAAACCCCUGUGAACUUAUACCUUUACUGUUGCCUCGGCGGGUCAUUGCCCCGGGGAAACAGGCGGCCGUCAGGUCCCUUCCCACCCGGAAACAGGCGCCCGCCGGGGGACUCAAACUCUUCUGUAUUUUUUUGUUUACUGUAUACUGUCUGAGUAAAAAUUCAUAAUGAAUCAAAACUUUCAACAACGGAUCUCUUGGUUCUG
This 252-nucleotide unclassified non-coding RNA is filed under the name plant metagenome. RNAcentral's name for it is "partial contains small subunit ribosomal RNA, internal transcribed spacer 1, and 5.8S ribosomal RNA". The record is from RNAcentral.